GGGGAUUUAGCUCAGUGGCAUAAGCGCCUGCCUCAAAAGCAGGAGGUCGUGAGUUCAAUACCUG
This 64-nucleotide transfer RNA is filed under the name Cavia porcellus (domestic guinea pig). It matches the Rfam family "tRNA", at positions 1 to 62 of the family's 71-position model. From Rfam's summary of the family: Transfer RNA (tRNA) molecules are approximately 80 nucleotides in length. Their secondary structure includes four short double-helical elements and three loops (D, anti-codon, and T loops). Lineage: Eukaryota; Metazoa; Chordata; Mammalia; Rodentia; Caviidae. The record is from Rfam by way of RNAcentral.